ACACAGGGGUGCUGAGUUUACUCGGCUGAGAUUAUACCCUUAACCUGAUUCGGAUAAUGCCGACGUAGGGAGCUUGUUUAU
Molecule: non-coding RNA, 81 nt
Filed under: uncultured Ruminococcus sp.
Lineage: Bacteria; Bacillati; Bacillota; Clostridia; Eubacteriales; Oscillospiraceae
Description: TPP riboswitch (THI element)
Rfam family: TPP riboswitch aptamer (THI element) (bases 4-72)
About the family: Vitamin B(1) in its active form thiamin pyrophosphate (TPP) is an essential coenzyme that is synthesised by coupling of pyrimidine and thiazole moieties in bacteria. The previously detected thiamin-regulatory element, thi box was extended, resulting in a new, highly conserved RNA secondary structure, the THI element, which is widely distributed in eubacteria and also occurs in some archaea.
Source: RNAcentral